This 66-nucleotide transfer RNA is filed under the name Agrilus sp. AGR01. RNAcentral describes it as "tRNA-Tyr". Lineage: Eukaryota; Metazoa; Arthropoda; Insecta; Coleoptera; Buprestidae. The record is from RNAcentral.
GUUGUAAGUGGCUGAGGAUAAGCGGUAAACUGUAAAUUUAUUUACGAGAAUUUUUCUCCUUCAACA